CUUUCCCUUCUUUUCUUCUCGCCCUCUCACAGCCACCUCUUUGCAUCCACUCCCUCCUGCAAUUUGCAAAGCUCCCCUGUCUCUCGCGCUUCAAGGUGCCAAGAGGACAAGGAACCCCCUCUUUGUAGGAAGAGAUUGAAGCCGAGACACCAGAGAGCCCCCGGCUGAUCUGACUGUCGCUAUUUUUCGUUGUAACUUCAGGAGAGGAGGAAAGAAAAUUCUUG
Molecule: long non-coding RNA, 224 nt
Filed under: Homo sapiens (human)
Lineage: Eukaryota; Metazoa; Chordata; Mammalia; Primates; Hominidae
Description: HSALNT0106651
Source: RNAcentral